Electrophorus electricus (electric eel) is the source of this 144-nucleotide small nuclear RNA. Its record names the gene U2. It matches the Rfam family "U2 spliceosomal RNA". From Rfam's summary of the family: U2 is a small nuclear RNA (snRNA) component of the spliceosome (involved in pre-mRNA splicing). The record is from Ensembl. Lineage: Eukaryota; Metazoa; Chordata; Actinopteri; Gymnotiformes; Gymnotidae.
AUCGCUUCUCGGCCUUUUGGCUAAGAUCAAGUGUAGUAUAUGUUCUUAUCAGUUCGGAUUUUACAAACAGAUUUUACGCUUGUGGAGAACGCUGCUGCGCUUGGGCUUUUUAAUAGCUUUUAGUGAGGCCAAGGGUGAUCUUAU